This 253-nucleotide ribosomal RNA is filed under the name uncultured bacterium. RNAcentral describes it as "partial 16S ribosomal RNA". It matches the Rfam family "Bacterial small subunit ribosomal RNA", at positions 524 to 776 of the family's 1533-position model. The record is from RNAcentral.
UACAGAGGUCCCAAGCGUUGUUCGGAUUCACUGGGCGUAAAGGGUGCGUAGGUGGUGAGGCAAGUUCGGUGUGAAAUCUCCGGGCUUAACCCGGAAAUGGCAUUGAAAACUGCCUUGCUAGAGGGUUGGAAGGGAGACUGGAAUUCUUGGUGUAGCAGUGAAAUGCGUAGAUAUGCGGAGGAACACCGAUGGCGAAGGCAAUCACCUGGGCCUGAACUGACACUGAGACACGAAAGCGUGGGUAGCAAACAGG